UACGAAGGGGGCUAGCGUUGCUCGGAAUCACUGGGCGUAAAGGGCGCGUAGGCGGCCAUUCAAGUCGGAGGUGAAAGCCCAGGGCUCAACCCUGGAAUUGCCUUCGAUACUGUCUGGCUAGAGACCGGAAGAGGUAAGUGGAACUGCGAGUGUAGAGGUGAAAUUCGUAGAUAUUCGCAAGAACACCAGUGACGAAGGCGGCUUACUGGUCCGGUUCUGACGCUGAGGCGCGAAAGCGUGGGGAGCAAACAGG
RNAcentral lists this ribosomal RNA (253 nucleotides) under uncultured bacterium. Its description in RNAcentral is "partial 16S ribosomal RNA". It matches the Rfam family "Bacterial small subunit ribosomal RNA", at positions 524 to 776 of the family's 1533-position model. The record is from RNAcentral.